This 481-nucleotide ribosomal RNA is filed under the name uncultured bacterium. RNAcentral's name for it is "bacterial SSU rRNA". It matches the Rfam family "Bacterial small subunit ribosomal RNA", at positions 954 to 1437 of the family's 1533-position model. The record is from RNAcentral.
GCACAACGCGAAGAACCUUACCCGGGCUUGAAAUGCAUCUGACAGGAGCAGAGACGCUCUCUCCCUUCGGGGCAGAUGUGUAGGUGCUGCAUGGUUGUCGUCAGCUCGUGCCGUGAGGUGUCGGCUUAAGUGCCAUAACGAGCGCAACCCUCAUCAUUAGUUACCAUCAGGUUAAGCUGGGGACUCUAAUGAGACUGCCAUCGUAAGAUGUGAGGAAGGUGGGGAUGACGUCAAAUCAGCACGGCCCUUACGUCCGGGGCGACACACGUGUUACAAUGGAUGGUACAAAGGGCAGCUACAUGGCGACAUGAUGCUAAUCUCCAAAACCAUUCUCAGUUCGGAUCGAAGUCUGCAACUCGACUUCGUGAAGCUGGAUUCGCUAGUAAUCGCGCAUCAGCCACGGCGCGGUGAAUACGUUCCCGGGUCUUGUACACACCGGAGGUCGGUGGGGGAGGGCGAAGGGGCACGACAGGGGGGGAUA